GCUCUUAUAGGGAAAGAAAAAUCUGCUGUGUUUUUGUCACCUGAGUUUGUCCUAGGACCAGGAUCGGUAGUGGACAGUUACUACCAAGAUAUAGACUUUCCAAGGGGUCACAUUGCUCUCAAGAGUUUCAAUGCUGAAGUGGUUGAUGAGACAGGGUUGCCUGUUCCCCUUCAGGAAAUUUAUCUCCACCACUGGGUUAUUGAAAGGUACUAUCAGCGUAAAGGUGUGGAGGCUCCUGGAUCCAGUUCCAUAAAGGAGACCCACAAUCCAGAUUUCAUAACUGUAAGGAACAGUGGAAUAUGUCAAGAUAAUGUUCUUGCACAGUAUUUUGGCCUUGGAUCUGAAACGCGAAAAACAGCCACACAUGUGCCAGACCCUUAUGGAAUAGAAAUUGGUAAUCCAGUGGAAAUUCCUGAUGGGUACGAGGAGAAAUGGUUGCUUAAUGUUCAUGCAAUUGACACUCGGGGUGUGGAAGACAGGUUGGGAUGCGCUGAAUGUAGGUGUGAUCUUUAUAAUGUUACAGAGGAUGGACACGGUUAUCCUUUGAGUUCAGACUAUAAGGGAGGCUUGAGAUGCUGCUAUGAUAAGACACAAUGCAGAGUAAAAGAAGGUUUUGAAGGCAUCAGGAGAAGCCUCUAUAUGAAAUAUACAGUGAAGUGGGUAGAUUGGGACAGCUCUGUUGUGCCAGU
RNAcentral lists this long non-coding RNA (689 nucleotides) under Vitis vinifera (wine grape). RNAcentral's name for it is "long non-coding RNA (VVIN_LNC005598)". The record is from RNAcentral. Lineage: Eukaryota; Viridiplantae; Streptophyta; Magnoliopsida; Vitales; Vitaceae.